Molecule: non-coding RNA, 107 nt
Organism: Capsicum annuum
Lineage: Eukaryota; Viridiplantae; Streptophyta; Magnoliopsida; Solanales; Solanaceae
Source: Rfam
UGAUGGUGAUGUAGGCAAUCUCUCAAGUAUCCCUUGUAUCUCUCCCAAGCUUAGGGAAGGGAUUCAAUGUCUUUCUAAACAAAUUCAGAAAUAUUAUUUCUAAAAUA